AGUGGCGGACGGGUGAGUAACGCGUGAGAAUCUGCCUUGGGGUCGGGGACAACCACUGGAAACGGUGGCUAAUACCGGAUAAGCCGAUUGGUGAAAGAUUUAUUGCCCGAAGAGGAGCUCGCGUCUGAUUAGCUAGUUGGUGAGGUAAGAGCUCACCAAGGCAGCGAUCAGUAGCUGGUCUGAGAGGACGAUCAGCCACACUGGGACUGAGACACGGCCCAGACUCCCACGGGAGGCAGCAGUGGGGAAUUUUCCGCAAUGGGCGAAAGCCUGACGGAGCAAGACCGCGUGAGGGAGGAAGGCUCUUGGGUUGUAAACCUCUUUUCUCAGGGAAGAAGCUCUGACGGUACCUGAGGAAUCAGCCUCGGCUAACUCCGUGCCAGCAGCCGCGGUAAUACGGAGGAGGCAAGCGUUAUCCGGAAUUAUUGGGCGUAAAGCGUCCGCAGGUGGCGAUUCAAGUCUGCUGUCAAAGCACGGGGCUUAACUCCGUAAAGGCAGUGGAAACUGAAUAGCUAGAGUGCCGUAGGGGUAGAGGGAAUUCCCGGUGUAGCGGUGAAAUGCGUAGAGAUCGGGAAGAACAUCGGUGGCGAAAGCGCUCUACUGGACGGCAACUGACACUCAGGGACGAAAGCUAGGGGAGCGAAUGGGAUUAGAUACCCC
Molecule: ribosomal RNA, 660 nt
Filed under: uncultured bacterium
Lineage: Bacteria
Description: bacterial SSU rRNA
Rfam family: Bacterial small subunit ribosomal RNA
Source: RNAcentral